AACGAACGCUGGCGGCAUGCCUAACACAUGCAAGUCGAACGAGACCUUCGGGUCUAGUUGCGCACGGGUGCGUAACGCGUGGGAAUCUGCCCUGGGGUACGGAAUAACUCAGAGAAAUUUGAGCUAAUACCGUAUGAUGACGUAAGUCCAAAGAUUUAUCGCCCUGGGAUGAGCACGCGUAGGGUUAGCUUGUUGGUGAGGUAAAGGCUCACCAAGGCGACGAUCCUUAGCUGGUCUGAGAGGAUGAUCAGCCACACUGGGACUGAGACACGGCCCAGACUCCUACGGGAGGCAGCAGUGUGGAAUAUUGGACAAUGGGCGAAAGCCUGAUGCAGCAAUGCCGCGUGAGUGAUGAAGGCCCGAGGGUUGUAAAGCUCUUUUACCCGGGAAGAUAAUGACUGUACCGGGAGAAUAAGCCCCGGCUAACUCCGUGCCAGCCGCCGCAGUAA
RNAcentral lists this ribosomal RNA (449 nucleotides) under uncultured bacterium. RNAcentral describes it as "partial 16S ribosomal RNA". It matches the Rfam family "Bacterial small subunit ribosomal RNA", at positions 29 to 523 of the family's 1533-position model. The record is from RNAcentral.